This 465-nucleotide ribosomal RNA is filed under the name uncultured Klebsiella sp. RNAcentral's name for it is "bacterial SSU rRNA". It matches the Rfam family "Bacterial small subunit ribosomal RNA", at positions 338 to 795 of the family's 1533-position model. Lineage: Bacteria; Pseudomonadati; Pseudomonadota; Gammaproteobacteria; Enterobacterales; Enterobacteriaceae. The record is from RNAcentral.
CCUACGGGGGGCUGCAGUGGGGAAUAUUGCACAAUGGGCGCAAGCCUGAUGCAGCCAUGCCGCGUGUGUGAAGAAGGCCUUCGGGUUGUAAAGCACUUUCAGCGGGGAGGAAGGCGUUAAGGUUAAUAACCUUGUCGAUUGACGUUACCCGCAGAAGAAGCACCGGCUAACUCCGUGCCAGCAGCCGCGGUAAUACGGAGGGUGCAAGCGUUAAUCGGAAUUACUGGGCGUAAAGCGCACGCAGGCGGUCUGUCAAGUCGGAUGUGAAAUCCCCGGGCUCAACCUGGGAACUGCAUUCGAAACUGGCAGGCUAGAGUCUUGUAGAGGGGGGUAGAAUGCCAGGUGUAGCGGUGAAAUGCGUAGAGAUCUGGAGGAAUACCGGUGGCGAAGGCGGCCCCCUGGACAAAGACUGACGCUCAGGUGCGAAAGCGUGGGGAGCAAACAGGAUUAGAUACCCGGGUAGUC